GUAGGGGUACCCUGAAGUGGGCUCUCCCCUGGUAGGAUUAGGGGCAGGGAGGGUCUCAGAAUAGGAGUCUUGUGGGUUCAGGUGGGAUUAGCGUAAAGUCAGGUACCAUUUCAGGGUGACCCCAAGAGCAAUACUGUCAUUGUUGCUGUAGAGGUUGCUGCCGGUUUGUCUGAUGACUUGAGCUGAGAAUAUCAAAAGGCAAAUGCAGAAGAUACAGGUGAGGAGCCGACCAGGCUGGGAAUGGGGAGGAGAGGGGCUGUGAGCUCUGGCUCUCUCCUCGGCCAAGCAUCCAGAGAGAGUGACACAGCAUGUUAAAUUGUGCUCUUUAACACCCUUCUCCACUAAAAUGAAUCAGGGCUCCGUGGUGAAAAGUUUUUUUAAUUUUGAGAGCUGGGAUUCCCUUGGAGUGUAGGGAUAAAAUGGUUGUUUCAGCACUUGCUAACAAAGCAAACAGGACCAAUAAAGUCCAACAUUGGCUAAACGUCAUUCAACAAAUAUUGAUUGAGUACCUAAUAUGUUGCAGGCACUGUUCAUAAAUAAUAGAGCAAAAAAUAAAUAUCGGAGACAAAGAUCCCCCUUGUACUUAGCUCACUCGUAUUUGUGCAUGUGUGUCUUUGGGAUAGAAUUCCUAGAAAUGGGGUCCCUGAGUCAAAGGGCAGCUGCAUAGGUAGUUUUGCUAGAUAGCGGUAAACGUCUCUUCCUAGGUACUGUACUAUUUUAUAUUCCCACUAACAGUGUAUGGGCCUGUUUCCCAAGCCUUGUCAACAGAAUAUGUUGUCAACUAUCAGAUUUUUGCCAAGCUGAUAGAUGUGAAAUGGUAUCUCAGUGUAGUUUCCCUUAUCAUGAAUGAGGCCCAUCACCUUUUCCUAUGUUUAUGGGCUUUCUUUUCUAUUAACAGUUUGUUCAUAUCUUUUGGUCUUUUUUUCUAUUAGGUUAUUGUACACAGUAAUGAAAUGAGAUAGGCUAUUGCGGUAAUCAAGGCCAAGAAUUGGUAGUGACUUGGAUCAGGGUGGUAGCAGUGGAAAGGGGAAAUGUGGUCAGAUUCGAAUUGAAUUUUGGAGGUAGAAUCCACAGAAUUUAUAUAUGGAGUGUAAAAUAAAGAGAGGAGUCAAUAACAAUCAGGUUUUGAUCCUGAGCAACUAGAUGAGAGUCAUUUUCCAUGACUGAGAUGGAGAAGACUAGGAGGAUAAGGUGUGAUGGGUCAUAGCAGGAUUAGAAAUGUGUAUUAGACCUCCAAGUGCAGAAGUCAGUUAGACAGUUGGCUAUAUGAGCCCAAUGGUCUGGGCAGAGGUCAGGGCUGGUGAUAGCAAUCUGAGUAUCAUCCAACAGAUAGUUGAAAUUUAAAGUCUGAGGCAGGAGCUGAGCAUGGAAGAGGUCCAGGGAUUAUGUUCUGGGGAGCUCCAAUGUUUGAAAGUCAAGGAAAGGAGGAGGAAGCAGCAAGGGAGACUUGAGGAGAGGCCAGAGGAGGAGGAGGAAACCAAGGGUACAUCACAGGGGAGAAACCAAGUAAAGAAAGUAUUUCAAGGAAGAGAGUGAUCGGCCAUGUCAGAUCGGCUGGUAAGUCAAGGAAGAUAAGGCCUGAGAAUUAAACAUUGGAAUUAGGAACAGGAAAAUACUGGGAGGCCUUGAUAAUUUAGGCAAAUGUCCUUCUGUAUUUUCCCUUUGCUUAUUCAAUCAUAUGAUUUUUUUUUUUUUUUUUUUUUUGCGGUACGCGGGCUUCUCGCUGUUGUGGCCUCUCCCGUUGCGGAGCACAGGCUCCGGACGCGCAGGCUCAGCGGCCAUGGCUCACGGGCCCAGCCGCUCCGCGGCAUGUGGGAUCUUCCCAGAACGGGGUACGAACCCGUGUCCUCUGCAUCGGCAGGCGGACUCUCAACCACUGCGCCACCAGGGAAGCCCUGACUUUUUUCUUUUUAACGAACAUGAUAUGAUUCAUGUAACCGAUUCUUUCCACUUAAUAUAUUUAUACAUUUUCCAAGUCAACAUAUAAAAAGAUAUCUCUUUCUUAAAAAUAACCAAAUAAUAUUCCGUUGCAAGGAUUUUCCAUUUCAAGCUUAUAGGUGCUACACUGAUGCAGACCCCGAGGCCCCCCAAAAUAUGGCAAUGGUAAAUAUGACCUUCAUAGGGCAAAGUGCCCAAGAUGUAAGAAGAAAAUUACAAAAGUUAGAUGGUACAUUUGGAAUGAACCCUUCGCAACUGGUAGAUGCUGCUUUUAAAGUGUUGAGCAACAGGGAACAAUGACAGAAGGAAGAAGAUGCAAAAUGGAAUGCAGCUUUUCUGGCAGCAGCAUUAGAUUCUCAGAAGGUGAGUAACCCGAAGAGAGGUAAGCCACCGCUGGGGAGGGAACAGUGUGCUUACUGUAAGGAGGAAGGGUAUUGGAAAACAGAUUGCCCUAGACAAAAAAAUAAGAAUGAAAACAAUGAAAGAAAGAUGGGGGCCUCUCAUGUGGUAGAAAGAGAGGAACACUCUGAAAAUGAAUGAAGAGGCCUGGGGGCUCGACUUGAGGCGUCCAAUUCCAAUUCCCCCACAGGAGUCCCAGGUAACUUUGACAGUGGGGGACAAGUUGAUUGACUUUCUGAUAGAUAUGGGUGCAACAUACCCUGUGGUAAAUACCAAGGUGGCGCAGAAAACAUCUCAGUCCAUCCUGGUCAAGGGAGUUUCUGGAGAAGUACAAAAUCAUUCUUUCUUACAACCUCUAGAAUGCCAGUUAGGGGACCUCACCCGGAAACACAGUUUCUUAUAUAUGCCAGUAUAUCCAAUCUCUCUUUUGGGCCGAGAUCUCCUUUGGAAAUUAAAUGCUCAAGUAAUUUUUUUGCCAGGACAGCUUGACAUUGGGGUCCCACCAGAGCACACUGUAAGCCUACAGAUGGCCCUCAUGGACACCCCAGAAAAGGAGACAGAGCUCUGUCCCCCCAAGGCUUCGAAAAGGACUCGAAGCUCAGGUGCAGCGGAGGAAAUUGACAGGAAGCUGAGGCCUGUGGACCACAGACCAGGAAGGGCCUUCGCACCCACCCUGCAUUUCCAAGGAGUGAACUGAGGGUUAUGGGAACCAUGACAACGGCCCUCCAGGAGGAAACCAGUGGUGCUCUGCCCUGUCCUGUCUUUUCUGUCUGCAUCGGGGAGCCUUGGAACUGCAAGCUGGCUGCGUAUCACCUGGGAGGGGUGAGGUUCCUUGGGGGGAUACAUCACUGCAUGACCAACUUCUUCUGGAACCCUUGGGGCCAGCAGAGCUGCCGUCUGUUCUACCCUGGCCUCAGGCACCACCUUUGCCUAAAGAGCACCUGGCACCAAGGAGAAACAUGAUGUCACGAUGUCAUUAGAGCCAGAUAACUCCUCCUGGCCAGCCCUGCCAAGGGUCACGGAGCACAGAAGUUGGACUAGGCCCCAGUCUCUCCCGACUCCAGGGCCACUGUCCUUUGCUUACAGAGAUAUUAGCAAAAAUUAUUUAAAAGCAUUCGAUUUCUAAUAACAUUCUCGCUCCAUACCUAUCUCAAUGACUGCUGGAAACAGGUAGGCACUUCCUCCUUAGGCUCCAAGUCCAGGUGACCUUCCUUAGUGGCCAAUGUUGUUUUUUAAAACCACGAAUCUCAGAGUUGACUCUGGUAGGUUGAGUCCACACGGACACGUAGACAUGCUGAUGACAUGUCUCUUGCCCAUGGUAAGAGUCUCUUAAGGUAAGACACAACAGAAAUCAAAGUUGAAGAAGUGACAGAUGUCCAUAAAGUCCUCUCAGUGGAGGACUUGGUCCAAAUGGAUGAGGUUGGAGUUGGCAUCCUUCUCACAGGGAGACCAGGCUGGGUAUUUUGCUGGGAGCAGGCCUGUCGGAUUCCCCGGCUACCUAGACGCUUAGCAGCCCUGGGAAAACCCAAGUCCACAGACCAAGGUUUUUCUGUUAGGUCUUGGGGUCCUGGCAGCUUGUCUUCUGCCUGUCCCCGUGUCUGUCUGGCCAGUUCCCCGCCCUUAGUUCUUAUUGCAACAGGCCCUCACACCUCCCCCGCUGCCACUCUCCUGACUCCAUGGGUGGGUGCCUCUCUUGUGAGCUUCCCAAGCACUGUGCUUCCUGAGAGCCUACUGCUUCCCCAAAACCCCAGAGCCCUGGAAGUUGCAGGGACCUGGGAAACAAAGCAGAAGGCUUUUCCGGGAUGUGACCCCUGCAGAGUCCCCCACGUGGCCUGGAGUUUCCAUAAUGAUGGUAAGGAGUCUAAGAUUCUAAACUGAAAAGGCAGCUGGUCAAGUGAGACAGUGAUAGGGAAGAGGAAUCUGGGGGGAAAAGAGCUCCGAGGUGAAUUGCGGGGGGCUGGGGGAGGAGUGUGUGUGGGCAGGGCACAGAUCUGAGGUCCAUUUUUUUGUCUCCCACUCUCUGAAAUGACUUUCACACCUUGUUGUCACCCCCCCAAAACCUCCCAUGCCCUACCUCUCCUCCCUCUCAGCUGCUACACUGCUUCCUGUUUAACCAAGAAAACAGAUAAACCGCCUCUGAUUUUAUCAAUAGGCUGUGGACCCCACCCCCCUUCCUAACCAAGGACAUCCCUCCUGCAACUGACCUCUAUCUACCUGCAUUACUAGGUUUUCCCUCCGUGUGGGAUCCUUGUCAAGCAAAUAAAAUCACUCUAGGAGAGUGAAGUUUUAGAAAUCAACUCUAUUGAGUUAUGAUGUGGAUAUAAAAGGCACCCAUUAUAAGUGCAAAGUUAGAUGAGUUCUGACACGUGUAUUCCCCUGUGUAACUGCCACCACCGCUGUGAGGUCAGAGGUCAUUCCCUUCAACCCCGUGAGGGAUCCCACUGCUGAGGAGUGUUCCCUUGUAUGGAUGCAGCACAAUUUGUUCAUGCCUUUGCCUGUUGGUAUACAAUUGGGCUAUUUCUACUUUUUGGCUAUUAUGAACAAAAAGUGCAGCGAAAAUGUAUAAGUCUGUGUGGAUGCACGUUACUUCUCUUGAGUAAAUAUCUACAGGCAGAAUAGCUGGGCCAUAUGAUAAUCUAUGUUUAGUUUUACUAGAAACUUCCAAACUUGUUCUCCAAAGUGGCUCUACCAUUUUACAUUUCCUUAGUGGCCCAUGAAAGUUCAGGAUGCUGCAAUUAGCAUUGCCAGUUUUUUCUCCCUAUCUUUAGCCAUUCUAUCGCGUGUAUAGAGGGGUAUGCAUUUUGGUUGUAAUUUGCAUUUUUGUUUUAUGACGAAUCGUGUUGAGCAUCUUUUCAGGUACUCAUUGGCUAUUCAAGUAUCACGCACAUGUAUUGUCUCACAGCUUCCAUGGGUCCUGCAGGCCUGGCUGAGCUGGGCCUUCGGCUCAGGGUCUCACAAGGUGUUGGCCAGGGCUGCAGGUCUUUUUCCAGUCACACAUGGUUGUUGGCAGAAUUCACUUCCUUGCAGCUGUAGAACCCAUGGUGAUUCAGGCCAAAGGGAAAGCUCUGCCGCUGCUUCUAGAGCCUCAUUUAAAAGGCUCACCUGAUUAGGUCAGGCCCACCCAUUGGUAAUCUCCCUUUUGACUGACUCAAAGUCAACUGAUCAGGAACCUUAAUUACAUCUGUCAAUCCCUUCAUUUAAUAUGAUGUAAUCCAAUCACAGGAGUGACAUCCACAACAUUCACUGGUCCCACACAUACUGUAAGGGAGAUUAUUAUACAUGGGCAUGGGUCAUCUUAGAAUUCUUACCACACCCAUUUUCAAUUGGCUGGUUUGUCUCCUCCUCACUGUGUGAUAUGAGUGCUUUAUAAAUUCCAAAUACAAGUCCUGUACAGAUACAUGUAUUGCAAAUAUUUUUCUCCCAGCCCCUAACUUGCCUUUUCAUUUUCUUAAUGGUGUUUUUGGAAGAACCGAAAUUUUUAAUUUUGAUGAAGUCCAAUUUGUCAGCUUUUUCUUUUAUGGUUCACACUUCAUAUUUCCCCACAAGAAAUCUUUCCCUACCUAAAGUUUACACUAUUGUCUCCUAUGUUUUCUUUUAGAAGUUUUAUAGUUUUACAUUUAGUUCUGUGACUCAUUUUAAGUCAACUUUUGUGUAUCAUGUGAGAUAAGAGUUGACAUUCACCUUCUUUUCCCAAAUGGAUAUACCAUUUUACCAGCAUUAUCUGCUGAAAACACCAUCAUUUCCCCCAUUGAAUUACCUUGGCACUUUAAUUGAAAAUCAAUGAAUAUGGGUCUACUUCUAGACUGUUAUUCCAUUGAUUUCUAUUUUUAUACUUAAUCUAUAGUAACCUACUUGAUUACUGUAUAUUUACAUUGUCUUAAAAUUUAGACAGAUUACACCCUUAAGCUUUGUUCUUUUCCAAAAAUUUUCUAUUUUAUGACCUUUUGAUUUCUGUAUAAAAUCUCAGAAUCAGCUUGUCAAAUUCUAAAAAUCAGAAAUAAGCCUGCUGGGAUCUUGAUUGGGAUUGCAUUGAAUAUGUAACUCAGCUUAGAGAGAAAUGCCAUCUAACAAUAUUGAGUCCUCUAAUCCAUCAGCCUGGUAUAUAUCUCCAUUUAUUUUCUCCCAGCUUCGCUUUAUAGUUUACAGCAUGCAUGUUUUUCACAUAUUUCAUUAAAUUUUCCUUUAGUAUAUAUCACCUUUUUAGAUGCUUUUAUAAAUGGUACUUAAAAUUUUCCUUUUCCAGUUGUUCAUUGUUAAUGUAUAGAAGUAUAAUUGAUUAUUGUGAUAUUGACCCUGUAUUUUGUGACUUAGCUAAGUUCACUUAAUAGUCCAGUAGAUUUUUUUUAAGAUUCGUUAGAAUUUUUGAGUACAUGAUCAUAUCAUCUGCAAAUAAAGUUUUGGUCUCUCCUUUCCAAUCUGUAUGCCUUUUUGCGCUAGCUCGGACCUCCAGCACAAUGUUAAAAAACAAACAAACAAACAAAAAACUGGAGAGACCAGACAUCCUCACCUCAUUCCCAUUAUUAAGGAGGAAAGCCAGCCUUUCCUGAGGAUUAUUCAGUAGCUGCUAAGUCUCAGGCAACAGUUCUGAAU
Orcinus orca (killer whale) is the source of this 6927-nucleotide long non-coding RNA. RefSeq lists it as uncharacterized. Lineage: Eukaryota; Metazoa; Chordata; Mammalia; Artiodactyla; Delphinidae. The transcript is spliced from 3 exons. The record is from RefSeq and is a predicted model, not a curated record.